GUGGAUAUAGCUUAGUUGGUAGAGUGCUUGCCUUGCAUGCAGAAGGCCCUGGGUUCAACCCCAGAACCACC
RNAcentral lists this transfer RNA (71 nucleotides) under Ictidomys tridecemlineatus (thirteen-lined ground squirrel). RNAcentral describes it as "Spermophilus tridecemlineatus (thirteen-lined ground squirrel) tRNA". It matches the Rfam family "tRNA". Rfam says of the family: Transfer RNA (tRNA) molecules are approximately 80 nucleotides in length. Their secondary structure includes four short double-helical elements and three loops (D, anti-codon, and T loops). The record is from Rfam by way of RNAcentral. Lineage: Eukaryota; Metazoa; Chordata; Mammalia; Rodentia; Sciuridae.